Molecule: non-coding RNA, 233 nt
Organism: Paramormyrops kingsleyae
Lineage: Eukaryota; Metazoa; Chordata; Actinopteri; Osteoglossiformes; Mormyridae
Source: RefSeq, a predicted model, not a curated record
UGCCAAAACCAUCCCAUUUCCCUUUAGUUCCCUUCCUUUAAUGGAGGGCCGGCGGACAAUGACGAACUGUCCAAGGGAAAACGAGUCCGUGUGAGAAGACUUAAGGAGUCCACACCCUCACCACCACCCUCGAGAAAGCGGAGGCCAAGGCAAAACAUACAUAUCAGAAAAAAGCCACAGAAGAAGCAAAAAAAGCCAAUCUCUUGACUCUACUACAUGAGAGAAAAAUGAAG